UGACUGCGGAGGAUCAUUAUUGAAUAAACCUGAUGGGUUGUUGCUGGUUCUCUAGGGAGCAUGUGCACGCCUUGUCAUCUUUAUAUCNCCNCCUGUGCACCUUUUGNAGACCUUUCCAAGGUCUAUGUUUAUUCAUUUACCCCAAUGUAUGUUANUANAAUGUUGUGUUUAUNAAAUCUAUACNACUUUCA
RNAcentral lists this unclassified non-coding RNA (191 nucleotides) under uncultured fungus. RNAcentral's name for it is "sequence contains ITS1". Lineage: Eukaryota; Fungi. The record is from RNAcentral.